RNAcentral lists this ribosomal RNA (1009 nucleotides) under Staphylococcus aureus. RNAcentral's name for it is "bacterial SSU rRNA". It matches the Rfam family "Bacterial small subunit ribosomal RNA", at positions 1 to 991 of the family's 1533-position model. The record is from RNAcentral. Lineage: Bacteria; Bacillati; Bacillota; Bacilli; Caryophanales; Staphylococcaceae.
UUUAUGGAGAGUUUGAUCCUGGCUCAGGAUGAACGCUGGCGGCGUGCCUAAUACAUGCAAGUCGAGCGAACGGACGAGAAGCUUGCUUCUCUGAUGUUAGCGGCGGACGGGUGAGUAACACGUGGAUAACCUACCUAUAAGACUGGGAUAACUUCGGGAAACCGGAGCUAAUACCGGAUAAUAUUUUGAUCUGCAUGGUUCAAAAGUAAAAGACGGUCUUGCUGUCACUUAUAGAUGGAUCCGCGCUGCAUUAGCUAGUUGGUAAGGUAACGGCUUACCAAGGCAACGAUGCAUAGCCGACCUGAGAGGGUGAUCGGCCACACUGGAACUGAGACACGGUCCAGACUCCUACGGGAGGCAGCAGUAGGGAAUCUUCCGCAAUGGGCGAAAGCCUGACGGAGCAACGCCGCGUGAGUGAUGAAGGUCUUCGGAUCGUAAAACUCUGUUAUUAGGGAAGAACAUAUGUGUAAGUAACUGUGCACAUCUUGACGGUACCUAAUCAGAAAGCCACGGCUAACUACGUGCCAGCAGCCGCGGUAAUACGUAGGUGGCAAGCGUUAUCCGGAAUUAUUGGGCGUAAAGCGCGCGUAGGCGGUUUUUUAAGUCUGAUGUGAAAGCCCACGGCUCAACCGUGGAGGGUCAUUGGAAACUGGAAAACUUGAGUGCAGAAGAGGAAAGUGGAAUUCCAUGUGUAGCGGUGAAAUGCGCAGAGAUAUGGAGGAACACCAGUGGCGAAGGCGACUUUCUGGUCUGUAACUGACGCUGAUGUGCGAAAGCGUGGGGAUCAAACAGGAUUAGAUACCCUGGUAGUCCACGCCGUAAACGAUGAGUGCUAAGUGUUAGGGGGUUUCCGCCCCUUAGUGCUGCAGCUAACGCAUUAAGCACUCCGCCUGGGGAGUACGACCGCAAGGUUGAAACUCAAAGGAAUUGACGGGGACCCGCACAAGCGGUGGAGCAUGUGGUUUAAUUCGAAGCAACGCGAAGAACCUUACCAAAUCUUGACAUCCUU